Choloepus didactylus (southern two-toed sloth) is the source of this 645-nucleotide long non-coding RNA. RefSeq lists it as uncharacterized. The record is from RefSeq and is a predicted model, not a curated record. NCBI's taxonomy places the organism in Eukaryota, Metazoa, Chordata, Mammalia, Pilosa, Megalonychidae. The transcript has 4 exons.
GAUAGGUUAAACAUUAGCUACCUAGGUCAACACAGACUGCUGUGCGCCGAGGUCCACAGGCCUGUUUUUUUCAGGCCAGGGGCUGCCACAGAGACCUGGGGAUCGAAAGGUCCAAAUGGAAACAGGAGUUUCAAGCCAAAACCUUGAGAAUAAAAAAAGUCCCUUUACCUGACUCCAGAUGGGAUGUUUCCAAGAAAGAGAUGAAAUUGAUUAAUUACCAUGCAUUUGAGCAAAAGGGAAAUCUACACUUCUGGAGAAGAACUUGGAGACAAAGUAGUGAUAAAUUCAUAGAUGAGCAAUCAAAGGAAACGGACAUAGCUAUGGAAAGGAGCUGCCUCCUUCACACAUCAACUGCUCAGCCUGCCCUCUAGUGGAAAACUCUGGUCCUCCAGUGAUGCCUGCCCUGGAAGAGAGCAGGGGCCAGGGCUGAGGAGUGGAGUGGAGCCAGCCAGCACCCAGGGGGGCAGCCAGCACGUGACUGACCAUCAAUGCGAGCUCCAGGCUCUGCAACCAGCAAAAUACUUGAGCAAGGGAGUGAUCUGCCUGGAGCUGAUUUUUAGGAUGGGCUGGAGGACACAAAACCUGCAGGAAGCAAGAGUGCCUUCAAGCACAGCAAAGUGCUACAAAAGGACAAAGGAACCAAGG